GUGUACUCCGGACUUAUCAGGAACCGAUUCAAACAGCAGUUGCUGCUCUGACCCCUUCAGCUCGAGGGGAUAGAUGGAGCAUGGGGAUGAUCAUGGCAGUCAUAUGUGCAGCAGCACUGGUUCUUCCACUUCUAUUUGGUUCUAGCUUUGAAUAUACCCGAUUGAAGAAACAGACAUAAAUCGAUGAGGAAAGAA
This is a long non-coding RNA of Hibiscus syriacus, 195 nucleotides long. RefSeq lists it as uncharacterized. The transcript has 3 exons. Lineage: Eukaryota; Viridiplantae; Streptophyta; Magnoliopsida; Malvales; Malvaceae. The record is from RefSeq and is a predicted model, not a curated record.